AACGCACAUUGCGCCCUUUGGCAUUCCGAAGGGCAUGCCCGUUCGAGCGUCAUUUCACCAAUCAAGCCUGGCUUGGUCUUGGGCGAGGGGCUGCGCGCCCCGGCCCCUAAAUCGUCGGCUGGACGGUUCGAUUCUCAGCGUUGUGGUAUCAUCAAUUCGCUGCGGGAGACGACCGGACGCGCCGUUAAACCUUUUACUUCAGGUUGACCUCGGAUCGGGUAGGGAUACCCGCUGAACUUAA
Molecule: unclassified non-coding RNA, 241 nt
Filed under: uncultured fungus
Lineage: Eukaryota; Fungi
Description: partial contains 5.8S ribosomal RNA, internal transcribed spacer 2, and large subunit ribosomal RNA
Source: RNAcentral